CCGCACCUGUCCGCGCGGGGCUGCGAGCGACGGCCAGCAUGAUGAUCGCCCCACGAAGAGGGAUCUUCGCGGUGCUCGCUGGCUGUAUUUUGACUACUAGUGUGUCGCAGGAACCCGUCUACAAAGGAAAGAUUAGAGUGUUUGCGAUGCAGCUGGACAUGUGGGCGCCUCCUCGCGACGACGUCCUCCUGCGAUACAACCUCACCGAUCACUUCAAGGAGG
This is a long non-coding RNA of Penaeus monodon (black tiger shrimp), 222 nucleotides long. RefSeq lists it as uncharacterized. The record is from RefSeq and is a predicted model, not a curated record. The transcript is spliced from 3 exons. Lineage: Eukaryota; Metazoa; Arthropoda; Malacostraca; Decapoda; Penaeidae.